Long non-coding RNA from Patella vulgata (common limpet), 2111 nucleotides. RefSeq lists it as uncharacterized. The record is from RefSeq and is a predicted model, not a curated record. NCBI's taxonomy places the organism in Eukaryota, Metazoa, Mollusca, Gastropoda, Patellidae. The transcript has 3 exons.
CAGUAUGACCUUAAUGAAUACCGCACGAUUACGAUCCGUUCCAGACUGAUAACUUUACGUUCCUAAAUAUCAGUCUGACCGUAGUGAAUACCGUACGAUUACGAUCCGUUCCAUACUGAUACCUUAAUUAUAGGCUAAUUAUAGAGCCUUCAAUUUCAAACACAUUUUUAUUAUCAUAUGCUCUUAUUUUUUUUUCAUCAUUAUAUGAUUAACAUUUCCUAAACUUUACGAUUUUCAACUUUUUUUUUAAAUAAUAGUCCAUCUCUGAGACAACAAAAACGUAAAUAAAUGGAAGAUAAAAGCAAGAAAGACAACCCUAAUAAAGGAGUCAGGACUAAGACUAGUAAUUAUUUCCCCUUAUUUCAUGAUUGUCGAAUGUAGUGCGAGUUAUAAAUAGACAAUUUUUCCCUUAAUUUUUUUCUCCCCUCUUCCUGCAUUUUUGGUUGACUUUUUGGUCUAGAAUUGGAGAAAAGGGAUCAAAUUUGCAAUUUCAUAGCAGUUUUGGGUAAUACUGAUGAUAUUACAGCGGAGGGAUAGGGGGUGUAAAGUGUCUUUCUGCAGAGCAAUCAUUGUGUCGGAAGUGAGAUUUUCACCCGUCAACUUCAAAUCCGUGUAGCAAAAAAUCUAAACGGUCAACCCCUUACAAAAUUAUGAUGAGGAGAUUGCCAAAUGUUGUCCCCAUUGUGCCUAUAAAGAUUGGAACCAACGGAAUGUUGAGCAAAAAGCUACAGCCUGUGAUGUUACAGUCAUUUAACAUUGAAGUCAAUGGGCAAAUAAUUGCUAGUCUGAGUCCUGAUGAUAUAAAGAAGCAUGGCCGACUCGGGAUGUUGAUAUUUUUUCAACGGCUUAUUUCCUGAAGUUUUGAAUGGAAAGUGUCAGAAAUGGUAAGAAUACUGCUUUUUUAUUGCCCAGCAGUAAGUUUUUUGACUAUUUGGUAUCAAAAUAGCCAUGAUUGGGGGUAUCCGUUGGUUGAGUGUGAAUUUUGGGUUGUAAAUGUGUAACAUUUUGUUCACAAUGAUAUCAAAACAUGGUUAGGUCUAAAUAUUAAGGCCAACUCAACUCCAGAUUUGGUCUAAAGUCACGAGAUGUAAACAAGACUGACCCUAACCCUAACCCAAGACCCAGUCCUUACCCUAACCCUAACCCACAAUCUUGUCAAAAAGCAUGUAGCCUAGGCCUAAGCCAAGACCUAGUUCUGACCCUAGCCCAAACCCACAAUUGUGUCAAAAAAUCAUGUGCCCUAACCCUAUUUACAUGUUGUGACCUUGAACCAAGUCUGCAGUUGGUCUUAACAUUUAGACCUAACAUGUUUUUGACAUCAUACAAUGAAAUGUUAACAUGUACACUCCAAAAUUCACACCUGUGUGACUUUUGACCAAACAUGCAGUUGGCCUUAAUAUUUAGACCGAACCUCAAAACAUGGCAUCUACCUUUGAGAUUGGCUUAGACUUAUGUGACACUCAAGGUGCCAGGGCAAUGUUUCAUAGAGUGGAAUGAUUGACCUCAACACAAGUAUUAAAAAAAAAGAAGCAAAACAGGUCUACAUCUCAAAACCUGAUCUCUUCCUGGACUGGCUUUAGGAGAACGAUGAUGCAUAUCAAUUUCAUCCCUGAUCUCUAUGACACCUGUGGUGGAAGUGGAGGGCAAAUCGUAAUCAGUUUGGGUUCCUGCCCUGAGGACCUCUGUAAACUUUGCUUUUCGGUGAUGACUUAAUUUCCGAGCUUGAAAAGAACGCCUGUGUGUUUAUCAUGGCCUCUCAUAUUGGAAGAUAACAUUAAUGGCUUGUGUGUUGAUCGACGGUUGUGCAUAUCUCUUGGUCAGGAAAGUUGUAGGCACCAUCGCCAUUGUAAAUCAUUUGACAGGCCCGAGUGAACGGGGCGACCUAUGAUUGGUCAGCAAUGUAUCAGAUUCCAUACCGGGGUGUGGGGAUGAAAAAACUGUUGUAGUGUUACAUAAUCAGAUUAUUUCAACUUACUUAUCCUGUGGAAAUACAGCUAUAUAGGAGAUAUUUUGAAAUUCAUAGGCACUGCAUGUUUCAACAUUUUAGAUUUGACCACAAUUUGGCACUUGAAACUAUGUUAACAGAGAAAAACUGUGUGGUUUUCGAUGAA